RNAcentral lists this microRNA (21 nucleotides) under Pongo pygmaeus (Bornean orangutan). RNAcentral describes it as "ppy-miR-2355". RNAcentral also lists the same sequence under 1 other name. The record is from miRBase by way of RNAcentral. Lineage: Eukaryota; Metazoa; Chordata; Mammalia; Primates; Hominidae.
AUCCCCAGAUACAAUGGACAA